GUAAAGAUUAAAGUGUCCAUCGGCAUAGACAGUAUCCACCGUUCCGUAUCGUGUAAAAAAGAUAUCAGCAUGAUACAGUCUCCGUGCCAAUGGCUCAACUCGAAAUAUUUUAUUUUUGAAAUUAGCAAUAAAAUAAUUGAUAUAUUAAUUUUGUUACUAAAGAAUAUAAAUAUUUCAUACCAUUAUAUAUCGGCACAUAUAUAUAUAUUUUUUAUGACCGACACUUAUCAGUACGAUUCGGCGUAUAUAGUACCGGUAAACUUUC
Molecule: long non-coding RNA, 265 nt
Filed under: Ananas comosus (pineapple)
Lineage: Eukaryota; Viridiplantae; Streptophyta; Magnoliopsida; Poales; Bromeliaceae
Description: long non-coding RNA (ACOM_LNC005977)
Source: RNAcentral